Eriocheir sinensis (Chinese mitten crab) is the source of this 372-nucleotide long non-coding RNA. RefSeq lists it as uncharacterized. The record is from RefSeq and is a predicted model, not a curated record. NCBI's taxonomy places the organism in Eukaryota, Metazoa, Arthropoda, Malacostraca, Decapoda, Varunidae. The transcript has 2 exons.
GCAUUAAGUACACGAUGGGGAUGGGCAUGAAGCCAGCCAGCAGCAGCAGCAGGCUCACGAACAUUGCCCAUCCAGGAUAUGGGACGUCCAUGGCUUUCCCCUGUUAUGGUCAUAGAAGAGUACGUUAAAACCAAGCCAAGUUAUUACAGAUGUCUCACGCAACUGGACUCACACGGCACCGCGGCCACACAGCUGAGCUCAGUUCUUACCGCGCGCCACUUGAACAACAAUACAGUACCCACGCUGCCACGCUACUCAACAACAACAACACCCUCGCUGCUGUGCUACCACGAGGGGAAGGGCAGCCAGAGGAGGAGCCACGAGAGGGAGAGGAGUCAGAGUGAUACAGUAGGCAAUAAAGGUACAAACCUA